RNAcentral lists this RNase P RNA (340 nucleotides) under Roseateles asaccharophilus. Its description in RNAcentral is "RNase P class A". It matches the Rfam family "Bacterial RNase P class A". From Rfam's summary of the family: Ribonuclease P (RNase P) is a ubiquitous endoribonuclease, found in archaea, bacteria and eukarya as well as chloroplasts and mitochondria. Its best characterised activity is the generation of mature 5'-ends of tRNAs by cleaving the 5'-leader elements of precursor-tRNAs. Cellular RNase Ps are ribonucleoproteins. Lineage: Bacteria; Pseudomonadati; Pseudomonadota; Betaproteobacteria; Burkholderiales; Sphaerotilaceae. The record is from RNAcentral.
GAAGCAAGCCAGACCGCCGCUGGGGCAGGCGUGGAAACACGGCCCUGGAGGAAGGUCCGGACUGCAUAGAGCGGCGUAGCAGCUAACGGCUGCCCGGCGAAAGCCGAGGAUCAGAGCAACAGAGACGAGUCAAGUCGGGCUUCGGCCUGACUUGGGUGAAACGGGCAAUCUCUACGCGCAGCAACACCAAGUAGGCCAGCGUUGAUGCGGCUCGCAGAGCUGGCGGGUAGGUGGCACCGAGCCGGGCAGUGAUGUCCGGCCCAGAGGAAUGGCGGUCACGCCGUCCGACCCGUAAGGGAAGGGUGGUGCACAGAAUCCGGCCUAUCGGCUUGCUUCACUC